This 253-nucleotide ribosomal RNA is filed under the name uncultured bacterium. RNAcentral's name for it is "partial 16S ribosomal RNA". It matches the Rfam family "Bacterial small subunit ribosomal RNA", at positions 524 to 776 of the family's 1533-position model. The record is from RNAcentral.
UACGGGGGGGGCAAGCGUUGUUCGGAAUUACUGGGCGUAAAGGGCUUGUAGGUGGCCAACUAAGUCAGACGUGAAAUCCCUCGGCUUAACCGGGGAACUGCGUCUGAUACUGGAUGGCUGGAGUUUGGGAGAGGGAUGCGGAAUUCCAGGUGUAGCGGUGAAAUGCGUAGAUAUCAGGAGGAACACCGAUGGCGAAGGCAGGUCUCUGGGCCACUACUGACGCUGAGAAGCGAAAGCAUGGGGAGCGAACAGG